This is a non-coding RNA of Myodes glareolus (Bank vole), 1621 nucleotides long. The record is from RefSeq and is a predicted model, not a curated record. Lineage: Eukaryota; Metazoa; Chordata; Mammalia; Rodentia; Cricetidae.
GGAGGGGGGGGGCCCGAGGGUCACAGGCAUGUUCACUUCCGUUUCCGGUGUGCCCUGGAGCCAUGGCUACCGCCAAGGAGGUGACGCUUCUGUUGACAUGCUGCAGAUCUUGCCGGAGCCUUCGAGGACCCCAAUCCCGAGCAUUCGCCGCCCUCGUGCCCGGUGUGUCCCAGGUAGACAACAAUUCCGAUUUUCUGGGGAAGAAGCCCCAUCGUAAGCAUCCCGGCAUCCUGCGUCUUCCGCACGUGCGGCUGCCACAAGCACUGAGUAACGCCGCGCAGUUACUGCUUCUUGAGAGACCCGUCCGCACUACAGAGAAGCAGGUACAGGCGCUCACCAACUAUCUCUGGAGCCGACAUUUGCCGGUAGAGCCGGAGGAAUUGCAAAGACGAGCUGUGGACCUUGAGAAAAAAUUCCUGGAAAAGCAAGACUCAGCUCAGACAGAGGAGAAGCUUCGUGAGGCAGUACUGCACGCCCUGCGCCGGACCACCUACCAUUGGCAGAAGCUCAGCUAUAAUGAAGAACUGAGUCUGAUAUACAUGGCAGCAAGAUUAGACGGUGCUUUCGCAGCGGUUUUCAGGGCGUUCCAUGAGAUCCAGACUCGAGUUCCAGAGUUCCAGCCACAGACGUUGAUGGACUUUGGAUCUGGUACUGGUUCUGUUGCCUGGGCUGCUCAUAGCACUUGGGGCCACAGCCUCCGUGAAUAUGUGUGUGUGGACACUUCAGCCGCCAUGCUGGGUUUGGCUGAAAAGCUACUAACAGGUGGUUCAGAGUCAGGGAAGCCCUGUAUCCCCGGUGUCUUCUUCAGACAGUUUCUACCUGUGUCACCCAAGGUCCAGUUUGAUGUGGUGGUGUCAGCCUUCGCCCUCAGUGAACUGCCCAGCAAGGCUGACCGCACUGAGGUGGUGCAGAACUUGUGGCGUAAGACAAGCCGUUUUCUGGUGUUGGUGGAGAACGGAACGAAAGCUGGGCACCGUCUUCUCAUGGAGGCCAGGAGCCUGGUCCUCCAGGAAAAAGAGAAGUCCCCUUUGGAUCUUCAGCCUGGCUUCGUCUUUGCCCCAUGUCCCCAUGAGCUCCCUUGUCCUCAGCUGACAGCCUCCAAGCCCCUGGCCUGUAGCUUCUCCCAGGCUUAUCAUCCUAUCCCCUUCAGCUGGAAUAAGAAGCCGAAAGAGGAAACAUUCUCUAUGGUAAUCCUCGCCAGGGGGUCUCCGAAGGAGGCUCCUCGCUGGCCCCGCAUCACUCAGCCUGUCCUUAAACGGCCUCGCCAUGUGCACUGUCACCUCUGUUGUCCAGACGGGCACACGCAGCAUGCUGUGGUUACUGCCCGUCGGCAUGGCAGGGAUUUGUAUCGCUGUGCCCGUGUCAGCUCCUGGGGAGACCUUUUGCCUGUGGUCGCUCUGUCCCCUGCUGAAGAGCCCACAGAGAGUUGACGAGGAUGCGGAUGUAACAAGUGUUUUCUUCCAUCACACCUGCCAAGGCCGAGGCUACCUGGUGUCCAGGAAGACAGUGCUGAACAACCCCAGUUCCCAGCAGGAAAUGGUAACAAACCUUCAAACCUGUCAGGAGGGUACCCACCCAGAAGGCAGGGCCACUCACUCGGAGAUUACGACCUAGAAAGGGA